Molecule: ribosomal RNA, 253 nt
Filed under: uncultured bacterium
Lineage: Bacteria
Description: partial 16S ribosomal RNA
Rfam family: Bacterial small subunit ribosomal RNA
Source: RNAcentral
UACGGAGGGUGCAAGCGUUAUCCGGAUUCACUGGGUUUAAAGGGUGCGUAGGCGGGCAGGUAAGUCCGUGGUGAAAUCUCUGAGCUUAACUCAGAAACUGCCAUGGAUACUAUUUGUCUUGAAUAUUGUGGAGGUAAGCAGAAUAUGUCAUGUAGCGGUGAAAUGCUUAGAUAUGACAUAGAACACCAAUUGCGAAGGCAGCUUACUACACAGUCAUUGACGCUGAGGCACGAAAGCGUGGGGAUCAAACAGG